UACGUAGGGCGCAAGCGUUGUCCGGAAUUAUUGGGCGUAAAGAGCUCGUAGGCGGUUUGUCACGUCGGCUGUGAAAACCCGAGGCUCAACCUCGGGCCUGCAGUCGAUACGGGCAGACUAGAGUGCUGUAGGGGGAGACUGGGAAUUCCUGGUGUAGCGGUGAAAUGCGCAGACUAUCAGGAGGAACACCGGUGGCGAAGGCGGGUCUCUGGGCAACAACUGACGUGAGGAGCGAAAGCGUGGGGAGCGAACAGG
Molecule: ribosomal RNA, 255 nt
Filed under: uncultured bacterium
Lineage: Bacteria
Description: partial 16S ribosomal RNA
Rfam family: Bacterial small subunit ribosomal RNA
Source: RNAcentral